CAUAACCUCGCUACUAGCAGAAUUAUUGGUGCUAAUACUGAGCAUCUUGAUGGACAAGUGAAAGAAGGUGCUGUGAAUUUUAACCCUAUAACGGCUAAAUCUCCUGUUGUGGGGUCAACUACUAUUACAAAAGGAUAUGGGUUGAGAAAGUGGAGGCGAAUUAAGAGAGAGGUUGUUAAGGAUGCAAAUACCGGUGCUGAUAACAGUAAAGUUUUGAAGCGA
This 222-nucleotide unclassified non-coding RNA is filed under the name Hevea brasiliensis (rubber tree). Lineage: Eukaryota; Viridiplantae; Streptophyta; Magnoliopsida; Malpighiales; Euphorbiaceae. The record is from RNAcentral.